GUCACAGUUGGUUUAUAAACCAGAUGUAUUUACAAACCAAAUUGUCUUUGUGAAAAAAAUGCAGACAGACCAGCCUUGCAAAGGGCCUUUGCCAAGGGGCCCGGGUGCUUCCCGGGGCAGCAGGAGUCCACCGGUGCGCUCGGGGAAGACGCUUCCCAAAAGGAAACGAAUGUAGAGUGUUUGGGUAGAUUUGCCAACUGCAAAUAAUACACAGAGAAAACUCCCCAGGUCUAGUCCCGAUCUUCCUCCCCAAACCACCAACUGAAAUUGAUACACUUCCGUGCGGUCCUCCUUCUACAUGUGCGCAGUCACGCUCGUGUGCACACACACCCUCUUCAUGUGCUCACUGGGGCAAACGUACUCUCCUGCGGUUGCUUCUUUCACAGGCCAGCACGACAGGCAGCAGGUGCACGAGGGGCCAGCAGGCCCGCGGUCCCCUCGCUGCUCUGGGCUCGCGACAAAAUGAUACAAUGACCGCAAGCCCCAGGGCUUUUGGGAGUCCUGUGGGACCGCCACCUUUCUACUGUAGUCGCCCAAGUGUCAUUCACAAUGCGCUGGAAGGCAACGGGGAAGAACUCUCCACCCCAAGUGGUUUGAGGCCAGGCGGAGGCAGCUCCCCGCGGGGAUGCUCUGGACUCCAGGGCCCCACCCCGGACAUUUACACCAGUCCUGAUCGCUGCCUCACAGUGAAACGCUGCCGAGAAUAUCCUUGCACGUGCAUCUAGUUCAUGUUGGUGAAAAAUCUUUUACACAGAUUUCUAAGAGAAGAAUUGCUGAUUCAAAGGGUAUGGACGUUAUAAAACCUCGCAGAAGAGCCAAAUCACCCUCCAAAAAGGCUUCACCGGUGAGGAUCUACACCAGGGCGCGCUGGGGCCCCGAGUGUGAGAUUUUCCACCUGAGAUCCAAACUCAAUACUGACUUGAUCUGCUUCUUCAGGCUCCUGGGGAGGCCGCGUGUUACCUGCACCGUCAGCUAGGCGAUCUCCUGGGACUCGCCAUCCUGGCCCUUGUGUGUGACCUGCACACGCCACCUGGGGUAUUGAUCCUCCUCACCUGUCGGACAUGUCGUCACCACUUGCACCAGUCUGUCACUAGCUUUUAUCUGUGUUUACGAUGUUGUUUCCUGAGAGACAUUUUUUUUUUUUUUUUUUAGAUUUUAUUUAUUUAUUUAUAGAGACACACAGAGAGAGAGGCAGAGACACAGGCAGAGGAGGAGCAGGCUCCAUGCAGGGAGCCCGACGUGGGACUCGAUCCCGGGUCUCCAGGAUCACACCUGAGCUGCAGGCAGUGCCAAACCGCUGUGCCACCGGGCCCGGGUCUAAUCCUGGAGACCCGGGAUCGAGUCCCACGUCGGGCUCCCUGCAUGGAGCCUGCUUCUCCCUCUGCCUGUGUCUCUGCCUCUCAGUCUCUCUCUCUCUGAAUAAAUAAAUAAAAAAAAAAAACUUAUAAAAAAUAAAAAAAAAAAGAAGACAGGAGGAGAAUGGAAUUUAGGAGGAGAAUCAGAGCGAUAAAUGCUGACAUUGCUGCAGUUGCCGACCUAAAGGACAGGUGUGAGGGAGGAGAGCCAAGGCAGGUGGGUCUUCCAAAGAAACAAGGUUGUUUUUUGUUUGUUUGUUGUUGCUAUUGUUUUUAGGGACAAGGUUUUUAUUGAACGUGGCAGAAGAUGGUCUGGAAGUGUGUCUGACGAACAGGCAAAGUCAGCCUUGCUCCUCACUUGCAACCUGGAGGGAGGAUGGGGAAGGGCCCUCAUGGAGCAGGUCCUGAGGCAGAGGCAGUCCUUGCCGGGGCU
RNAcentral lists this long non-coding RNA (1788 nucleotides) under Canis lupus familiaris (dog). RNAcentral describes it as "lncRNA (ENSCAFG00845007363.1)". Lineage: Eukaryota; Metazoa; Chordata; Mammalia; Carnivora; Canidae. The record is from RNAcentral.